GUGCUGUAGCUCAGGUGGUAGAGCAUCGGACUGAAAAUCCGUGAGUCGGUGGUUCGAGUCCGCCCAGCAC
This 70-nucleotide transfer RNA is filed under the name marine eukaryotic metagenome. It matches the Rfam family "tRNA". Rfam says of the family: Transfer RNA (tRNA) molecules are approximately 80 nucleotides in length. Their secondary structure includes four short double-helical elements and three loops (D, anti-codon, and T loops). Further hydrogen bonds mediate the characteristic L-shaped molecular structure. tRNAs have two regions of fundamental functional importance: the anti-codon, which is responsible for specific mRNA codon recognition, and the 3' end, to which the tRNAs corresponding amino acid is attached (by aminoacyl-tRNA synthetases). tRNAs cope with the degeneracy of the genetic code in two manners: having more than one tRNA (with a specific anti-codon) for a particular amino acid; and 'wobble' base-pairing, i.e. permitting non-standard base-pairing at the 3rd anti-codon position. The record is from RNAcentral.